This 292-nucleotide unclassified non-coding RNA is filed under the name Hevea brasiliensis (rubber tree). The record is from RNAcentral. Lineage: Eukaryota; Viridiplantae; Streptophyta; Magnoliopsida; Malpighiales; Euphorbiaceae.
GCAGAAUAAACAAUUUUUGGAUAAACAAUUUAACAGCGCGGGAGUAAUCAUCUGGAAUAGUAGCAGGAAAUCCCAAACCACAAGGAGGUGACCCAGUAAGCAGAUAACAGAGAUUGAAGCCUCAGCAGUAAUCUUCUCCUUCUCCAUCUUCGUCAAGGAUGUCCAUUCUAAGGUGUUGAGAUUGAAGCCUGAAAGUACCCUGAAACCGUCUGCGUCACCGCCAACAAAGAAAAUACUCCUUCCGCCAACGAAGAAGAAGCGCCACAAAGUCGGAAUAUCUAUUGGCGGAUCA